Molecule: long non-coding RNA, 537 nt
Organism: Arachis duranensis
Lineage: Eukaryota; Viridiplantae; Streptophyta; Magnoliopsida; Fabales; Fabaceae
Exons: 2
Source: RefSeq, a predicted model, not a curated record
GCCAGAGCCCACCACCACGCCGUUUGCCUCCCCUCCCUUGUUCUGCCCUCGUCAGCCUUGUUCAGUUGUUCUUCGCUGAAUCACUUCCGAUCUGCUUCAAGUCUGUCGAUCUCCAAGGGAUAAAAAUACAAAAUGUCUGAGAAUGCUGGUUCAGGGACAGGGUCUUCGCUUCCUAGUAUUCCUAGAAGAUGAACAUGUGAAUGAUGAUGAUGAUUUUGUUGGCCGUGUUGAACCUGAGCCUGAAAGAAAUGAUGUUUCUGAUGAAGAUGGUGAAGAUGAUGAUGUUGAUGCCAUGGAAGAUGAAGAUAUUGGAGGAUUUGAGUUUUAGAGUUUAUUAGAAAUUUAAUUGUUGCUUUGUUGGUUUCUUUUGUGUUUUGGUUGUGUCUUAUGAACCUUUGAUUGUGUAAUUGUGUGUUUUAUGUUGAACUAGAUAGAUACUUGUGAAGGAUUUAAAUGUGUGAUCCAAAGUACUUGUUGACUUGUUGUAACUUGUAAUUGUAGUAUUAUGUUAAUUUAUUAUGUGUUUUGAUGUUGAAA